Molecule: ribosomal RNA, 509 nt
Filed under: uncultured bacterium
Lineage: Bacteria
Description: partial 16S ribosomal RNA
Source: RNAcentral
GGAGUUAGCCGGUGCUUCUUCUGUGAGUGAUGUCCUUCCUGCCGGCUAUUAACCCGCAGGCCUUCUUCCUCACUGAAAGUGCUUUACAACCCGAAGGCCUUCUUCACACACGCGGCAUGGCUGGAUCAGGGUUGCCCCCCAUUGUCCAAUAUUCCCCACUGCUGCCUCCCGUAGGAGUCUGGGCCGUGUCUCAGUCCCAGUGUGGCUGAUCAUCCUCUCGGACCAGCUACGGAUCGUCGCCUUGGUGAGCCGUUACCUCACCAACCAGCUAAUCCGACAUAGGCUCAUCCGAUAGCGCGAGGCCCGAAGGUCCCCCGCUUUCCCCCGUAGGGCGUAUGCGGUAUUAGCCUGGGUUUCCCCCAGGUUAUCCCCCACUACCGGGCAGAUUCCUAUGCAUUACUCACCCGUCCGCCGCUCGCCACCAGGGAGCAAGCUCCCCGUGCUGCCGCUCGACUUGCAUGUGUUAGGCCUGCCGCCAGCGUUCAAUCUGAGCCAUAAUCAAACUCUGA